Molecule: long non-coding RNA, 426 nt
Filed under: Mytilus galloprovincialis (Mediterranean mussel)
Lineage: Eukaryota; Metazoa; Mollusca; Bivalvia; Mytilida; Mytilidae
Source: RNAcentral
GGAAACCACAUAUCAUACUCUUAUGUAUUUUAUUUGUACCAUGAUUUCUCAAGGAGAACAAAGUCUAAUAAUUAUGUUGAUUUCCUCUUUCCGAUUUAACUAAAAACAAAGAUGCCUACAGAUGAGGGGGGAUAGGAGGGGUCUUGAUCCCGAAAUCCCGGACUUGAAAAAACGAAAUCCCGAGGUCCCGAAUUUAAAUAAAGCAAAUCCCGACAUCCCGAAAUCCGAAAAAAAGGAUUCCCGGAUCCCGAAAGGGUCAAUCCCGAAACCCCGAGCUUAAAAACACCCGAUCCCGGAGUCCCGAUAAAGGUCCUAUCCCCCCUCUACAGAUAGUUAAUAGUCCGCGUUAUUUACUAGGAAGUUUGUCACUGACAGUUGGUUGAGAACUAAACGUCAGAAGAUAAGAAAGCAAUUUCUCUCAUACAC